This 440-nucleotide ribosomal RNA is filed under the name uncultured bacterium. RNAcentral describes it as "partial 16S ribosomal RNA". It matches the Rfam family "Bacterial small subunit ribosomal RNA", at positions 338 to 795 of the family's 1533-position model. The record is from RNAcentral.
CCUACGGGUGGCAGCAGUAGGGAAUAUUGCACAAUGGGGGAAACCCUGAUGCAGCAACGCCGCGUGGGUGAAGAAGUACUUCGUUAUGUAAAACUCUAUCAGCAGGGAAGAAAGUGACUGUACGUGAGUAAGAAGCCCCCGCUAACUACGUGCCAGCAGCCGAGGUAAUACGUAGGGGGCAAGCGUUAUCCGGAUUUACUGGGCGUAAAGGGAUCGGAGACGGCAGUGCAAGUCUGGAGUGAAAGGCGGGGGCUCAACCCCCGGACUGCGCUGGAAACUGUACGGCUGGAGUGCAGGAGAGGUAAGUGGAACUCCAAGUGUAGCGGUGAAAUGCGUAGAUAUUAGGAGGAACACCAGUGGCGAAGGCGGCUUACUGGACUGUAACUGACGUUGAGGUUCGAAAGCGUGGGGAGCAAACAGGAUUAGAUACCCCAGUAGUC